RNAcentral lists this transfer RNA (74 nucleotides) under Bacteroidota bacterium. RNAcentral's name for it is "tRNA-Pro". It matches the Rfam family "tRNA". Rfam says of the family: Transfer RNA (tRNA) molecules are approximately 80 nucleotides in length. Lineage: Bacteria; Pseudomonadati; Bacteroidota. The record is from RNAcentral. RNAcentral also lists the same sequence under 3 other names.
CGGGGCGUAGCGCAGCCCGGUAGCGCGCCUGCUUUGGGAGCAGGAGGUCGUGGGUUCGAAUCCCGCCGCCCCGA